RNAcentral lists this ribosomal RNA (267 nucleotides) under uncultured prokaryote. Its description in RNAcentral is "partial 16S ribosomal RNA". It matches the Rfam family "Bacterial small subunit ribosomal RNA", at positions 335 to 620 of the family's 1533-position model. The record is from RNAcentral.
AACCUACGGGGGGCUGCAGUGGGGAAUAUUGGACAAUGGGCGCAAGCCUGAUCCAGCCAUGCCGCGUGGGUGAAGAAGGCCUUAGGGUUGUAAAGCUCUUUCAGUCGUGACGAUGAUGACGGUAGCGACAGAAGAAGCCCCGGCUAACUCCGUGCCAGCAGCCGCGGUAAUACGGAGGGGGCAAGCGUUGUUCGGAUUUACUGGGCGUAAAGGGCGCGUAGGCGGGGUAUCCAGUUAGGGGUGAAAGCCCGGGGCUCAACCUCGGAA